GCAACUCGCCUGCAUGAAGUCGGAAUUGCUAGUAAUCGCAGAUCAGCAUGCUGCGGUGAAUACGUUCCCGGGCCUUGUACACACCGCCCGUCACACCAUGGGAGUCGGUAACACCCGAAGUCGGUAGCCUAACCGUGAGGAGGGCGCCGCCAAGGUGGGAUUGAUGACUGGGGUGAAGUCGUAACAAGGUAAC
This 193-nucleotide ribosomal RNA is filed under the name uncultured bacterium. RNAcentral's name for it is "partial 16S ribosomal RNA". It matches the Rfam family "Bacterial small subunit ribosomal RNA", at positions 1307 to 1500 of the family's 1533-position model. The record is from RNAcentral.